RNAcentral lists this ribosomal RNA (254 nucleotides) under uncultured bacterium. RNAcentral describes it as "partial 16S ribosomal RNA". It matches the Rfam family "Bacterial small subunit ribosomal RNA", at positions 524 to 776 of the family's 1533-position model. The record is from RNAcentral.
CACGUAGGGGGCGAGCGUUGUCCGGAUUUAUUGGGCGUAAAGAGCUCGUAGGCGGUUUCGUUAGUCGGGUGUGAAAACCCCAGGCUCAACCUGGGGACGCCACCCGAUACUGCGAUGACUAGAGUCCGGUAGGGGAGUGUGGAAUUCCUGGUGUAGCGGUGAAAUGCGCAGAUAUCAGGAGGAACACCAACGGCGAAGGCAGCACUCUGGGCCGGAACUGACGCUGAGGCCCGAAAGCGCGGGGAGCGAACGGG